GACGAGCGCGGCGGCGUGCUUAACACAUGCAAGUCGAACGAAGAGCGAUGGAAGCUUGCUUCUAUCAAUCUUAGUGGCGAACGGGUGAGUAACGCGUAAUCAACCUGCCCUUCAGAGGGGGACAACAGUUGGAAACGACUGCUAAUACCGCAUACGAUCUAAUCUCGGCAUCGAGGAUAGAUGAAAGGUGGCCUCUACAUGUAAGCUAUCACUGAAGGAGGGGAUUGCGUCUGAUUAGCUAGUUGGAGGGGUAACGGCCCACCAAGGCGAUGAUCAGUAGCCGGUCUGAGAGGAUGAACGGCCACAUUGGGACUGAGACACGGCCCAGACUCCUACGGGAGGCAGCAGUGGGGAAUCUUCCGCAAUGGACGAAAGUCUGACGGAGCAACGCCGCGUGAGUGAUGACGGCCUUCGGGUUGUAAAGCUCUGUUAAUCGGGACGAAAGGCCUUCCUGCGAAUAAU
This 462-nucleotide ribosomal RNA is filed under the name Veillonella parvula. RNAcentral's name for it is "bacterial SSU rRNA". It matches the Rfam family "Bacterial small subunit ribosomal RNA", at positions 28 to 464 of the family's 1533-position model. The record is from RNAcentral. Lineage: Bacteria; Bacillati; Bacillota; Negativicutes; Veillonellales; Veillonellaceae.